UCUUUUCUCACCAGAGUUUGUUGAACAAUAUGAGCCCUAACCAUGAGUCCAGUUCGGCAGUUCUGAGGAUGAAAAAGAUUCCUGGAGAGAUGUCACCUCUUCACCUUCCCUGUCCCACCACACAGUCUCCAGCUCACAGACUGCUUUGAAAGCCUCAGAAUCAAUCUCAUUUGUUGCUACAACCUUGAUCUCACAGAUUGAAGUCCCUGGGGAGAUUCGAGCAUUGGCGGCCCACUGCAGGAGCGGAGAACCUUCCAGCCACAGACAUGCUUCUGCUUCCAUGACACUCUGUCUCAGCAGGAUCCAGAACUUGUGGAGCCAAGGAACAUGGGUGGGAACUUUGAAACCACGAGGAGUGGAGACCCAAGGCUUCUGCUGUGACCGACACUGAAUGCCGAUAGUCCCACCUCCCAGCAAGUUUCUCUAAGCAGGAAUGCUGGGAUUCUCAAGGUUCCUGCACUACAAGCUGGGAAAUGCUUGCCUCUGAGAGACAUAAAUAACCACAACAGCCAGAAAAUAAAGCAGGCAAUCUCUAGAAGUGCCUGGAUACAUUAGGAUGAAAAACAGCCGAAGCCUCCAACUCCUCAGACUCCAUUGAAUACUGUUUGCAGUCAUCCGGUAAAAUUUUAAUUUAUUUUAUUAUUGCAUUUUUAUGACAAAUUGUAACAUAACUCAUUUAUUUUCUCCAUCAAUCUCCUCUCCUUCAUAAAAAUGGCACACAUGAUGAUGACCUACAUUAAAGUAAUUGUCACCGUGUGUAGUAUUACAGCGAUAAUCUAUAAAUAAUAUAAAAGUUUGUA
Molecule: long non-coding RNA, 800 nt
Organism: Peromyscus californicus insignis
Lineage: Eukaryota; Metazoa; Chordata; Mammalia; Rodentia; Cricetidae
Exons: 3
Source: RefSeq, a predicted model, not a curated record